RNAcentral lists this RNase P RNA (377 nucleotides) under Microbacterium hominis. RNAcentral's name for it is "RNase P RNA component class A". It matches the Rfam family "Bacterial RNase P class A". From Rfam's summary of the family: Ribonuclease P (RNase P) is a ubiquitous endoribonuclease, found in archaea, bacteria and eukarya as well as chloroplasts and mitochondria. Its best characterised activity is the generation of mature 5'-ends of tRNAs by cleaving the 5'-leader elements of precursor-tRNAs. Lineage: Bacteria; Bacillati; Actinomycetota; Actinomycetes; Micrococcales; Microbacteriaceae. The record is from RNAcentral.
UGGGUCGGCUGGACGGUCGCGUGGCGGGGUCACACCCGCACCGAGGAACGUCCGGGCUCCACAGGGCAGGGCGGUGGGUAACACCCACCCGGAGCAAUCCGCGAGACAGUGCCACAGAGAGCAGACCGCCCCGGACUCCGCUCGUCGGAGCACCGGGGUAAGGGUGAAAGGGUGGUGUAAGAGACCACCGGGAUCGUGGUGACACGGUCCGCACGGUAAACCUCGCCCGGAGCAAGGCCAGACAGGGGAUGCCGACGCGGCUCGCCGAGUCCCCGGGUAGGCCGCUGGAGCGGCACGGCAACGUGUCGCCGAGAGAGAUGACCGUCCACGGAGCGCGAGCUCCCGGACAGAACCCGGCGUACAGGCCGGCCCAUUCG